GAUGAACGCUGGCGGCGUGCCUAAUACAUGCAAGUCGAACGCACCGUUUAUAUCGCCGCUUGCUACCACAUACACAGUGAGUUGCGAAUGGGUGAGUAACGCGUAGGUAACCUGCCUGGUAGCGGGGGAUAACUGUUGGAAACGAUAGCUAAGAGCGCAUAAUAUUGAAUAUUGCAUGCUACAUGAUAGCAAGAUGCUAUUGCAUCACUCUACGAUGGACCCGCGUUGUAUUAGCUAAUAGGCGAGGUAAUGGCUCACCUAGGUUGCGAUACAUAGCCGGCCUUGGGAGGUUGUCGGCCACACUUGGGCUGAGACACCGCCCAGACUCCUUCGGGAGGCAGCAGUAAGGGAUCCUCGGAAAUGGACGAAAGUCUUACCGGGCAACGGCGCGUGAGGGGAGAAGGGUUUCGGAUCGGAAAGCCCUGUUGUUAAGGAAGGACGGUGGUGGGAGUGGAAAGUUCACACUGUGACGGUAUCUUACCAGAAAGGGACGGCUAACUACGUG
RNAcentral lists this ribosomal RNA (505 nucleotides) under uncultured bacterium. RNAcentral describes it as "partial 16S ribosomal RNA". It matches the Rfam family "Bacterial small subunit ribosomal RNA", at positions 28 to 507 of the family's 1533-position model. The record is from RNAcentral.